AAAAAAAAAAAGAAAAGAAAACACUUCAUCUGUUCUUUAUACUUGCAGCUCCAUUGAGGUGUUUAUGUAAACAAAACAAAUACAUUUCCUCGGAGUUGGGCCACAUUAAUUUCAUUAUGGGCCAGGGUUGAUGCAAGAGAUUUCGAUGACAUCAAAUGCAACUCCUACGGUGGGCCAGAUUUGUCAUCCAAUUAACAUCACAAAAUGUUCUUAUCAAAAUGAGCAAAGAAAAUGGUCCAUCACAACAGAGAACUCGCCAAUUGCAUGGCAGAACAUAUUAUCGCAUAAAAUCCUAACACAAACAAAUUAUAUAAGGAUACAAAUACAGACCAGGAAAGGAGAUUGUCAAAGCAAUUCCGCACAUACUUCCACAAGGAAUCCAGAUAAAGUUUGAUGAGCAAGAGGGAGGAGAUGAGACUUUCUUGGUCUAUCUACGGUAGCCACGGUCAGCUGACAACGAGCGAUCCCUGUGCCUCCUAUGUGAAUCAUAAUCAUCUCCCCUCCUACUAUAUGGAGACCGUGAUCUUCCACGCCGGUCCCUUGAAUAAUAAUCUCUGUCUCUGUCUCUGUCUCUG
Molecule: unclassified non-coding RNA, 575 nt
Filed under: Hevea brasiliensis (rubber tree)
Lineage: Eukaryota; Viridiplantae; Streptophyta; Magnoliopsida; Malpighiales; Euphorbiaceae
Source: RNAcentral